RNAcentral lists this long non-coding RNA (1173 nucleotides) under Equus asinus (donkey). RNAcentral describes it as "lncRNA (ENSEASG00005037425.1)". Lineage: Eukaryota; Metazoa; Chordata; Mammalia; Perissodactyla; Equidae. The record is from RNAcentral.
CGACUGUGCCCACACUGGGCCAGAGGCGGGAAAUACGAGGUGAAGUGAAACUGACAGUUUAGAUCACUUCCUCUCAGGGCGUGUAACACAGCAUGGUGGGGAAUUCCUGCUAGUGGCGUGAACAGAGCUGAGAGAGUAGCAAGCCGGGGAACGCCUGUCCUCUGGGCUUAGGGAAGGUUUCACAGCCGGGUUGCGUUGGAGUGAGUCUGCAAAGGAUGAAUAAAUCAAGGCACAGAGAAGUUACAGGACUUGGCCAAGGAGAGAUACAGGUGGUGGAACAGAGAUUCAAACUCAGCCACCUUAAGGGAUGUGAAGUGAAGAGGCUUGAGUUUUAAUGACCAUUUAGGAAUAGGAAUUGAGAUCUUGGGCCCACAAAAGACUCAAAACCUCCUCUACAGGUAAUAUUCUUUUUUUUUUUUUUAAGAUUUUAUUUUUUUCCUUUUUCUCCCCAAAGGCCCCCAGUACAUAGUUGUAUGUUCUUUGUUGUGGGUCCUUCUAGUUGUGGCAUGUGGGACGCUGCCUCAGCGUGGUUUGAUGAGCAGUGCCGUGUCCGCGCUCAGGAUUCAAACCAAUGAAACACUGGGCCGCCUGCAGCGGAGCACGCGAACUUAACCACUCGGUCACGGGACCAGCCCCUACAGAGUCCUCAGAUAGCUGGUCCAGGUUUUGGAGCUGCAUUCAGUGAGACAGACAGGUUGGAUAGAGUGUGCUCAACCAUUGUUGGAGGAGGUCAUCGAGAGGGGGUGACCAUCCAUGGACACAUGACCUGGACUUGGGUAAUCAGAGGCUCCUUACACUCUUCCCUGUCCUUGGAUUGUACAUUUUGCCCACUAUUCCCAUGCUAGGAGCCACUUCAAGGGUGCAGCCUUGAAACAGUAAUCUGUUAUUGAGACCAUCUGAACAGUAUAUGUGACUGAACACCAUUAAGGCCUCUAUAUAAACCCUUAGGAUUCUGGUGGUUGGGUGUGGAGACUUCCUUGUUUUUGUAUCUGUGCAAGACAAGCCUCACGUGUAAAUGCUCUUGCUUAUUAAAACUGCUACCUACCAAUCUGGAGUGGUCUGCCUCUUUCUCUGCUCUCUCCUUGCCCUCUGUGUUUGGGGGCCAGUGUUGAAUUUUACCUUGGGAACUCCCAAGGUUUUUUGAACCAAUGUCCAUCUUACCCAGAAUCAAAA